UCCUCAUUAGUAUAGUGAUAUCCCUGCCUGUCACGCGGGAGACCAGGGUUCGAUUCCCAGACAAGGAG
Molecule: transfer RNA, 68 nt
Filed under: Homo sapiens (human)
Lineage: Eukaryota; Metazoa; Chordata; Mammalia; Primates; Hominidae
Rfam family: tRNA
About the family: Transfer RNA (tRNA) molecules are approximately 80 nucleotides in length. Their secondary structure includes four short double-helical elements and three loops (D, anti-codon, and T loops).
Source: Rfam by way of RNAcentral